This 1212-nucleotide long non-coding RNA is filed under the name Coturnix japonica (Japanese quail). Its description in RNAcentral is "lncRNA (ENSCJPG00005000566.1)". Lineage: Eukaryota; Metazoa; Chordata; Aves; Galliformes; Phasianidae. The record is from RNAcentral.
AUGGAUGGAUGGAUGACCGGCUGUACCGGGAUGGACGGAUGGAUGACCGGCUGUACCGGGAUGGAUGGAUGGAUGACCGGCUGUACCGGGAUGGAUGGAUGGAUGACCGGCUGUACCGGGAUGACCGACCGACUGACUGUGCACCGCGGCGCGGGGCCGGGCGGGCUGAGAAGGGCGGCCAUCCCCGCCGACCAGCCGCGAUGCCGCUCCCGCACGACGAGACCGGCCGGGACGGGGCGGCGGGUCCGAGCACACACAGAGCGCUCGGCCCCGAACUGCGGCCCCGAACUGAGCUGCGGCCCCGCGCUGCCCAUCGCCGCGAUCCCUUUGUGCCGGGACCGGCUGCCCCGGGCCGGGUCCCUCGUCCCGCCGUCUCGGCCGGUCCCGGUGCCGGUUGCCGUGGUAACGCGGAGGCCGCCGCUCUCUCCCCCACGUGCCCGCAGCGCCGCCCGCCGCCGCCAGGUGCCGCCGCGCCGCUCCCGGCCGUCCCGCCUCCGCGCUCCCAUUGGCUGGCGCCGGCCGUCAGCGCGUCGCGAUUGGCUGCUGCGGCGUCGGCGGCGCAGGGUGCGCUCGGAGGCCGCAGGUGAGCGGAGGGAAAUGGCGGCGCGCGGCGUGGCGCCCCCUGCUGCCAACGGCGGGACGGGAACGGAACGGGAACGGGAACGGGAACGGGAACGGGAACGGGGACACGGAGCCGGGGCCGACAGCACCGGGGGGGAGGAGAGAAAGGGGGGGGGGAGGCCGGCAGUCAGGCCGAGGGGAGCAGCGCCGGGCCCCGCGUUCCGGGCAGCGCCGAUGGGGUCAGCGCCGCCGCUCGGUGCGGGCCCGGUUUCUGCAGCGUCCCGCAGCCCCCGCCGGGCCGCAGCCCCGAGCUGCCGGCAGCACCGGGGUCCCGCUCCGAGCCCGCCCCGCGCUCCUUCCCCCCCCCGGAUCCCGCAGGACGCGGAGCAGCGCGAGCACACGGAGCGCGGACACUGCCCGCAUCGCUGCGGUGUGAUUAGGGCUGGGCUGGGGUUGGGGUUGGGGUUAGAGUUAGGGUUAGGGUUGGGGUUGGGGUUGGGGUUGGGGCUGCGUGCGGCCCGACCGGCUGCUCGGUCGCCGGUGCCUGCACACAGCGCGGGGUUGGUCCUUCUCAGCCCGGGCCGUUCCGUGACCCUCCGAUUCCCUCCGACAUCCCGGUGCCGUGACGCUUCACACGUAACGACCCCGUGA